Molecule: long non-coding RNA, 1247 nt
Filed under: Heterocephalus glaber (naked mole-rat)
Lineage: Eukaryota; Metazoa; Chordata; Mammalia; Rodentia; Bathyergidae
Description: lncRNA (ENSHGLG00000042128.1)
Source: RNAcentral
GAAAAAUACUUUUUCAGUGGCUGCUGAUCUCUCACCUAAGAUCAAAAUGUAUGAAGAAUAUUUAAAUUAAGAAUCCUCAGGGAUUACAGGCAUGUGCCACCGCAGCUGGUUUUAAAUUCUCCAAUUUGAAAGGGGCCCUGUUACAAUUUGCAAACAAUAGAUCAGUCCUGGGUAGAUGGAGGGGCUGAAGAACCCAGGAGGAUUGAGGGAAAAAAAAAAUCCCCCCCCCAUGGUUACAUAAUCACUUUUUCCUUCAGCACUGGGAAUUAAACCCGGAGAGCACUGAGCUAUGCCCCUGGCCCUUUUUAUUUUUUAUUUUGAGAUAGGGUCUCACUCAGGUGCCCUAGCUAGCCUGGAAUUUGUAAUCUUCCUGCCUCAGCCUCCUGAGUAGCCGGGAUGACAGGUGUGCACCCCAGGGAUAACAACAAAAACUACGGUAGACUGUGCUUUCAGUUGAUCUUUGUUUCAUCCAGCACGAAAGCAAAGAAUUGUGAGAGAUUUGUAUUAGGAAGAAUGUUAAAGAUUAUUUAAUAACCAAACCAUUUGUUUUUCUUUUUCUUGUUUGUUUGUUUUUCGAGAUGGGCUCACUGUGUAGCCCAGGCUGGCCUCGAACUCAAGGCGAUCCUCCUGCCUCAGCUAACUGGUUGCUUGCUUUCCUGUGUGUGAAUUUGUCAUCAGGAGCAGUGCCCGUCCUCCCUUUAAUGCCCCCCCCCCGCCGCACCCCUGGGAACCGAACCAGCCCUUACAGAAACGCAGCCUCAGAGGCCGGAGCGAGGAUGCCUCGGGUUCUUCCCACCCAGGCGCAGGGUGCGGGAACUUCUCGCUCUCUCCCGGGGACAUUUCUGAGGAGGAGUCUCUGACCCCACUGGGGCGCAAACACACACCCUUGCCCUAAGGAGGACAGAAACACCUGAUUCUGCAGAGAACGUGCAGUGUCAGGUGACUCAUGUUCGCCUCAAUCUGGAAACGAGGUUCUCCUGCAAGGACAGAGCCUUGGUUCCUGGCGCUCUGCUCCCAAGGCAACGCUGUGAGUCACUUCCAUCAGCAAACAGACGCUCUGUGUUCAUCUGUGAAGCCAUGUGGACACAUUGCAGUGGUUGCCCGGCAAUAUUCUGUAAGAACUCUCAUUUUGGAUGCUAAAAGAGAAAGCCACACUCUGUCUCAGGGCCCCUGUGUAAGACACAGGCUUGCUUGGUGUGACGGUGCAUGCCCAUGAUCCCAGCACUCAGGAGGCCGAGGCAGGAGGA